GAAAUCCACUAGGGGCGCCGUCAUCGGCUGAGACAAGAGAUCAUCUUGGACCCUUUGAACCUGAUCUAGUUCAUACUAGCGUAGGAAAGUGGAGCCGGCCCCAA
This 104-nucleotide non-coding RNA is filed under the name Paenibacillus sp. RNAcentral's name for it is "TPP sequence". It matches the Rfam family "TPP riboswitch aptamer (THI element)". From Rfam's summary of the family: Vitamin B(1) in its active form thiamin pyrophosphate (TPP) is an essential coenzyme that is synthesised by coupling of pyrimidine and thiazole moieties in bacteria. Lineage: Bacteria; Bacillati; Bacillota; Bacilli; Caryophanales; Paenibacillaceae. The record is from RNAcentral. RNAcentral also lists the same sequence under 1 other name.